ACUGUGAAAAUCUUUCUUUUAUUACUGUCUCUUGUGGCAAAAUAACAUUUUAUACAAAUAAUAGAAACUGUCCCACCUGGGCCUCUGUCAAAGAGAGAAGGGAUUGUUGUUAAGCUUGACAGGAACAUGCAAAUCCCAUUUGAGGAGCCACAAUGAGAAACAGAAGGUGAGGAGAGAGUGCUAACAGCACUGGCAUCUUUCUGCCAAUGAGGAGGUGGGAACAAUGGCAAUGCAGCUUUCCCCUGCAGCAUAAGGGACAGAGCCACACGUAAGGCACCUGGAUUUACAGUGGACGCCAGUUCUGAGAGUGGCCGGUCUGGUGAUAAGGAACCCUCUCCACAGGAGGAAUGGUCUCUCCCCUCUCGGGGCUGAAUCCAAGGCCAGCACACAGAGGUAAGCUAGGACCUUCUCAGUGAGAAAGCUGCCAGCAUGUGGCAUUGCCAAGACUCUGGCCUGGUACAAAGCACUGGGCCAAGGUUCAGGGCCACUCGCCCUAGAGCCCACACAGGGAGCAGCACUGGUGGUGGAUGGACAGGAACUUCUGUGGCCACACACUGUCUCUUCCGU
Molecule: non-coding RNA, 567 nt
Filed under: Pongo abelii (Sumatran orangutan)
Lineage: Eukaryota; Metazoa; Chordata; Mammalia; Primates; Hominidae
Source: RNAcentral